UACGUAGGUGGCAAGCGUUGUCCGGAAUUACUGGGUGUAAAGGGAGCGCGGGCGGGGAAGCAAGUCAGCUGUGAAAUCCAUGGGCUUAACCCAUGAACUGCAGUUGAAACUGUUUUUCUUGAGUGAAGUAGAGGUAGGCGGGACUCCGAGUGUAGCGGUGAAAUGCGUAGAUAUUCGGAGGAACACCGGUGGCGAAGGCGGCCUACUGGGCUUUUACAGACGCUGAGGCUCGAAAGUGUGGGGAGCAAAC
RNAcentral lists this ribosomal RNA (250 nucleotides) under uncultured prokaryote. Its description in RNAcentral is "partial 16S ribosomal RNA". It matches the Rfam family "Bacterial small subunit ribosomal RNA", at positions 524 to 773 of the family's 1533-position model. The record is from RNAcentral.